RNAcentral lists this ribosomal RNA (818 nucleotides) under uncultured bacterium. Its description in RNAcentral is "bacterial SSU rRNA". It matches the Rfam family "Bacterial small subunit ribosomal RNA", at positions 52 to 882 of the family's 1533-position model. The record is from RNAcentral.
UACNUGCAGUUGACGAGAAAGUAUCUUCGGAUGCGAGUACAGUGGCGGACGGGUGAGUAAUACAUAGGAAUCUACCCAAUGGAGGGGGAUAGCUCGAGGAAACUCGAAUUAAUACCGCAUAAUCUCCACGGAGUAAAGAGGGCUUCGGCUCUCGCCAUCGGAUGAGCCUAUGCAAGACUAGCUUGUUGGUAAGGUAAUGGCUUACCAAGGCUACGAUCUUUAGCUGGUUUGAGAGGACGACCAGCCACAUCGGGACUGAGACACGGCCCGGACUUCUACGGAAGGCAGCAGUAGGGAAUAUUGGACAAUGAGCGAAAGCUUGAUCCAGCCAUGCCGCAUGUGCGAUGAAGACCUUAGGGUUGUAAAGCACUUUAGGUUAUGAGAAAAGAUUUGGUAUUAAUACCACCAAAUUUUGAUGUUAAUUUCAGAAUAAGCACCGGCUAAAUCCGUGCCAGCAGCCGCGGUAAUACGGAUGGUGCAAGCGUUAAUCGGAAUUACUGGGCGUAAAGCGCGCGUAGGUGGCCUAUCAAGUUAGAUGUGAAAUCCCGGGGCUUAACCUCGGAACUGCAUCUAAAACUGAUAAGCUAGAGUACUAGAGAGGAAAGUAGAAUUCUUAGUGUAGCGGUGGAAUGCGUAGAUAUUAAGAGGAAUACCAAUGGCGAAGGCAACUUUCUGGAUAGAUACUGACACUGANGUGCGAAAGCGUGGGGAGCAAACAGGAUUAGAUACCCUGGUAGUCCACGCCGUAAACGAUGAUAACUAGCCGUUGGAAUUUUCAGUGGCGCAGCUAACGCAAUAAGUUAUCCGCCUGGGGAGUA